UGGGGAAUAUUGCACAAUGGGCGCAAGCCUGAUGCAGCCAUGCCGCGUGUGUGAAGAAGGCCUUCGGGUUGUAAAGCACUUUCAGCGAGGAGGAAGGUGGUGAACUUAAUACGUUCAUCAAUUGACGUUACUCGCAGAAGAAGCACCGGCUAACUCCGUGCCAGCAGCCGCGGUAAUACGGAGGGUGCAAGCGUUAAUCGGAAUUACUGGGCGUAAAGCGCACGCAGGCGGUUUGUUAAGUCAGAUGUGAAAUCCCCGGGCUCAACCUGGGAACUGCAUUUGAAACUGGCAAGCUAGAGUCUCGUAGAGGGGGGUAGAAUUCCAGGUGUAGCGGUGAAAUGCGUAGAGAUCUGGAGGAAUACCGGUGGCGAAGGCGGCCCCCUGGACGAAGACUGACGCUCAGGUGCGAAAAGCGUGGGGAGCAAAACAGGAUUAGAUACCCUGGUAGUCCACGCUGUAAACGAUGUCGAUUUUGGAGGUUGUGCCCUUGAGGCGUGGCUUCCGGAGCUAACGCGUUAAAUCGACCGCC
This 529-nucleotide ribosomal RNA is filed under the name uncultured bacterium. Its description in RNAcentral is "partial 16S ribosomal RNA". It matches the Rfam family "Bacterial small subunit ribosomal RNA", at positions 355 to 873 of the family's 1533-position model. The record is from RNAcentral.